AACAGAACCCCCAAGCGUUACCCGGAUUUAUUGGGCGUAAAGCGUCUGUAGCCGGUUUGGCAAGUCGCAGGUUAAAUACCAAGAGCUCAACUUUUGGAAUGCCUGCGAAACUGCCAGACUAGAGGGCGUUAGGGGCUGAUGGAACGCACGGUGGAGGGGUGAAAUCCGUUGAUAUCGUGCGGAACACCAAAAGCGAAGGCAUUCAGCUGGGGCGACCCUGACGGUGAGAGACGAAAGCGUGGGGAGCGAAAAGG
Molecule: unclassified non-coding RNA, 254 nt
Filed under: uncultured Parcubacteria group bacterium
Lineage: Bacteria
Description: contains 16S-23S intergenic spacer region
Rfam family: Bacterial small subunit ribosomal RNA
Source: RNAcentral